Molecule: long non-coding RNA, 222 nt
Organism: Cicer arietinum (chickpea)
Lineage: Eukaryota; Viridiplantae; Streptophyta; Magnoliopsida; Fabales; Fabaceae
Source: RefSeq, a predicted model, not a curated record
UCUCUAUGGGAGGAUGCGCAUUAUUGUUGCAAAACUGGGCAUGGUAUCGUUUGUCUUGUGUCGCUCCUGAAUCUCCCAAACCAUGGAUAUUUCCACUUGCACAAAGGUUUAAUUCUGGUGGUCUAAAUUUUGCUAAAGUUCCUCAUAACGACGUAGAAGGAUAUCGAAAAACAAUUGAUCACAUGAUGGUUGAGGAAUUUUAUUGGAGACCUUAUCUCGGGU